RNAcentral lists this unclassified non-coding RNA (625 nucleotides) under Melitaea cinxia (Glanville fritillary). Its description in RNAcentral is "misc RNA ENSMCXG00005012776.1". Lineage: Eukaryota; Metazoa; Arthropoda; Insecta; Lepidoptera; Nymphalidae. The record is from RNAcentral.
AAAAAAUAUAUAUAUCUAUAUUUCAUUAAUAGAAAAAGAAAAUAUUGAAUUUAUUGCACGUAAAAAUGACUAAUUUUGGAAUCCUUUUCGACGCAGAAAAUAGAAAGAAUGAACGAUUCGGUGAAUUAUAUUCUUAUUGUUGGCUUUGAAAAAGAUACACAUUUUUGUUCAAUUUCGUACUUGCAUAAAAUAGACGCAACUUCAUUUGAAUGUAUCUAAGAACUUGAUAUUUUGUUAUUGUCUAAAUAGUAUUAAAGCUAGCUAAGAAAUUAAGACGCCAAUAUGUACAUGACUAAGUAUAUACAUUUAAAUUAUUUUCAAAAAACAUUGAAACAAAAAAUAAUUUUUACUGAAACAAUAAUACAUUUAGCACCCAAACAUCAACAAGGGAAUAAACUCAUAAAUAAAAGGUCACAUCAACCCAGUAUCCUCAACCAUACUUCCAUUAUAACAAGGCCCUAGCUGUCUAUAUAAAUCUAUAGCAGUGCAAGUUCAUCGUUCGUCCUCGGACAUUGAGGCGGAACUUCUUUGCUAUGGAACCCUAAAAGGCACCACCAGAUCCUCGUGGUGUUCCACUCGCAGUUCUGAUAUUGCCGCUGCAGCUUUUUUUACUGCAUUCGUUAUC